This is a long non-coding RNA of Talpa occidentalis (Iberian mole), 774 nucleotides long. RefSeq lists it as uncharacterized. The transcript is spliced from 6 exons. The record is from RefSeq and is a predicted model, not a curated record. Lineage: Eukaryota; Metazoa; Chordata; Mammalia; Eulipotyphla; Talpidae.
AGUCAGAGGAAGCUCAAGGAGAGGCGAUGUGCCCUUCUCCCCAAUUUCCUCCAACAGGUGACCUCUCACCUGGCCGUGGAGUCAAAGGCGGGAAAGUGGCUCUGGCACAAGUGUGUGUACAGGGCCAUGCCAUUCUGUCCCCCGCGUGGAGUCCUGUCACCACCACCCCAACCGCGAUGCAGAGCCGGUCCACAAAGCUCCCCCACUACAAAAAUUCCCCUGGUGAGCCCCAGUGGCAUGGACUUCCUGCUGCUCCAGAGAGGAACAAAUGCACUUGCAGGCAAUCCCAACAGCAUCACUUCUGGAGAAUUAGACAAGAGGAUUCUCCCUUUGGGACAAAGACUUUGCUCCUCUCUUCAGAAAAUCACUCCAGGCUUGGUAUCCUAACGUGUUUCAUGGGAAGAUUUUACACAUUUGCCUAUGGCAGCAGACCUGUUAUACAACAACUUGGGAUGAAGACAGCGUUGCCCUGUCUUGGAGAUCAGUUCUGUGUACUUAGCAACCUAAACUGUCCAGCUUUUCCAUGGCUUCACUUACCUAGACAGGAUUGGGCCUCCCUGGUGGCGCAGCGGUUGAGCUCUGGGUUGCAAAGCUGCCCACAGCCUCUGUAGCACCGGUUUGAUCCCCAGCCACCGGGCGAGGAGGGUCCCACAUGGCGCGUAGACCUCUCCUGUUGCCCGCUGCUCCCCUCAGCAGUGUAUUUCGUCAGUCUACCUGUUCUGCUCUCAGCUCUGGCUCUGGUGAAUUCUCUCACCCUCCUGUGCUUCUAACUGU